UUGUAAAUGAGUUCCAAUAGUUCAUGGAUUAGGGACCCAAUCUUAUGGGGUUCCAAGGGCUUCUCUAUAGAAAGAUUAACCUAAAUAAUCUACCCACCCAACGGGACUCAAUACUCAGUCUAGAAGAUAACAUCAGAGAUGCUUAGUUUUGCAGUUCUCAAACUGUGGAUUUGUGUCUCCAGAGAUAACAUGCUUGUUAACAGCAAAAAAUGAUUUUAAGUAAAUGCAUAUUGUAUAAAAGU
This is a long non-coding RNA of Chelonia mydas (Green sea turtle), 242 nucleotides long. RefSeq lists it as uncharacterized. The record is from RefSeq and is a predicted model, not a curated record. The transcript has 2 exons. NCBI's taxonomy places the organism in Eukaryota, Metazoa, Chordata, Testudines, Cheloniidae.